UACGAAGGGUGCAAGCGUUACUCGGAAUUACUGGGCGUAAAGCGUGCGUAGGUGGUGAGUUAAGGCUGAUGUGAAAUCCCCGGGCUCAACCUGGGAAUGGCAUUGGAUACUGGCUCGCUAGAGUGCGGUAGAGGGUGGUGGAAUUCCCGGUGUAGCAGUGAAAUGCGUAGAGAUCGGGAGGAACAUCUGUGGCGAAGGCGGCCACCUGGACCAACACUGACACUGAGGCACGAAAGCGUGGGGAGCAAACAGG
Molecule: ribosomal RNA, 253 nt
Filed under: uncultured bacterium
Lineage: Bacteria
Description: partial 16S ribosomal RNA
Rfam family: Bacterial small subunit ribosomal RNA
Source: RNAcentral